AUCUGCUAAAAAAACUUAAGUUUUAUAGUAAAGAACUUGCGAAAAAAAAGAUGAAAUCUCAUGAUUGAGAAUAAUAUCUGAAUUUUAAUGCAAUAAAUCAAAAUAAAACACUGUUUUAUUGUACCUUUUGUAUAAUGGAUUAGCAAGUAAAUAUUAUAAGCAAGCGCAAGCAAAAUGAAAAUAUAUAGUUUAUAAUAUUUGACCCGAAAACUAAACGAUCUAAUAAUGAACAAGCAUUAGGCUGAACUCGUAAAUGUUGCAAAAUUUUGAGAUGAUUUGUUAUUAGGGGUGAAAGGCUUAUCAAGUUUAGUUAUAGCUGGUUCUCCACGAAAUCUAUUUAAGUAGAGCAAAAUAAUAUGUAUAUAAUAGGUAAUGAGAUAACGAAAGUUAAUUUAUCAAUUAUUAUGUAUAUAUAUAUUUAGUCAGACAUUUAGUGCCAAGAUUAAGUGUCAAGAGGGAACAGCCCAGAGUGUUAAUUAAAAUAAUAAAAAAAUAAGUACUAAUUUUUAAGUAAAAAUUAACCAAAAAACAAAAGUAAAAGAAGAAUAAGG
This 551-nucleotide ribosomal RNA is filed under the name uncultured bacterium. RNAcentral describes it as "partial 23S ribosomal RNA". The stretch from base 102 to 551 matches the Rfam family "Bacterial large subunit ribosomal RNA", at positions 573 to 1178 of the family's 2925-position model. The record is from RNAcentral.